This is an unclassified non-coding RNA of Chelonoidis abingdonii (Abingdon island giant tortoise), 167 nucleotides long. The record is from Ensembl. Lineage: Eukaryota; Metazoa; Chordata; Testudines; Testudinidae.
UUGGGAGCCCUAGAAUCCAAAGUCCUCUUUUUAUCCACAGAACUGGUGUAGCGCAGGCAGUGGCAGUGCAAACUGUCCAUGCACCAAUUUGCCAUUGAAACUCAAGUUUCAUAUGAAAGGCUGUGAGUGGAGUCCAGUCUCCAUUGUACGUUGAAUCCUUGGUUUCU